GAUGAAGAACGCAGCGAAAUGCGAUACGUAAUGUGAAUUGCAGAAUUCAGUGAAUCAUCGAGUCUUUGAACGCACAUUGCGCCCCCUGGUAUUCCGGGGGGCAUGCCUGUCCGAGCGUCAUUGCUGCCCUCAAGCACGGCUUGUGUGUUGGGCCUCCGUCCUCCUCCCGGGGGACGGGCCCGAAAGGCAGCGGCGGCACCGCGUCCGGUCCUCGAGCGUAUGGGGCUUCGUCACCCGCUCUUGUAGGCCCGGCCGGCGCUUGCCGACACAUCAAUCUUUUUUCCAGGUUGAACUCGGAUCAGGUAGGAAUACCCGCUGAACUUAAGCAUAUCAAUAAGCGGAGGA
Molecule: unclassified non-coding RNA, 345 nt
Filed under: soil metagenome
Description: partial contains 5.8S ribosomal RNA, internal transcribed spacer 2, and large subunit ribosomal RNA
Rfam family: 5.8S ribosomal RNA (bases 1-120)
Source: RNAcentral